RNAcentral lists this ribosomal RNA (301 nucleotides) under uncultured bacterium. Its description in RNAcentral is "partial 16S ribosomal RNA". It matches the Rfam family "Bacterial small subunit ribosomal RNA", at positions 509 to 807 of the family's 1533-position model. The record is from RNAcentral.
CAGCAGCCGCGGUAAUACGAAGGGUGCAAGCGUUACUCGGAAUUACUGGGCGUAAAGCGUGCGUAGGUGGUGGUUUAAGUCCGUUGUGGAAGCCCUGGGCUCAACCUGGGAAUUGCAGUGGAUACUGGGUCACUAGAGUGUGGUAGAGGAUAGUGGAAUUUCCGGUGUAGCAGUGAAAUGCGUAGAGAUCGGAAGGAACAUCUGUGGCGAAGGCGACUAUCUGGGCCAACACUGACACUGAGGCACGAAAGCGUGGGGAGCAAACAGGAUUAGAUACCCCUGUAGUCCCUGUCUCUUAUAC